UCUUUUCUAUAAAUAUUCUCAAACCCAAUUGCCAAUAAAUUGCCAACAAAGAGUUUCUUUCUUUCAUAUUAGUUUACACACAUAUUCUUCACCAACAAGGCAUGGCCUCCCAUGGCAGUGGCAUGACAGUCUCAACUUCUCCAAAAAGUGGUGGCAACGCAGAAGCUGCAGCAAUUUCACCAAAAGGAGGCCAAUGCUUGUGCUCACCAACAACUCAUCAAGGAUCGUUCCGGUGCCGGUUUCACCGGUCCCAAUCAUCGGCUUGGAUGAAGCGAUCAAAGUCCAUGCCCACCAAUAAUAACUCUGUGGCUUCUUUCUCUCCAAAGUCAGUACUUGAGUCUACUUAGUUAGCAACAUCAAAGUCCCCAAACAAAACUAUAUGGUAUAAACAAAUAGGUAUAAAGCAAUAUUCUCUCUGUUUGCUGAAUUCAGGUGUGUUACAUAUAUAAAUUCUAUAUGAAUUAUGUAUUACAGUUUUAAUGUAUGUGCAGUUGCU
Molecule: long non-coding RNA, 496 nt
Filed under: Prunus dulcis (almond)
Lineage: Eukaryota; Viridiplantae; Streptophyta; Magnoliopsida; Rosales; Rosaceae
Description: sRNA ncRNA
Source: RNAcentral